UUUUUUUUUUUUUCCUUUUCACGUGCUUUCUACUCAUGUGUGUUAAUCUUAUUAACAGUAAUACAUGCCUUAAUAUGCUUUACUUCAUCUCUUACAGGUGGUUAAUAUAUGAAGAUCUUUGCCAGGAGGAACAAGAAAAGGAAGUUAAAGGUGCCGUGUUCUUGAGGAGAUGGAUACUGAAAGAUGGAUGAAUUCAGCGGUCUGGCAAGGAAAUGGAAAUGAGGUCUAAUAAUAUGUUGGCUUUAGUGUAUGGAGGGGGAAACUGAGCAGGCAUUGUCUAGCAAAUAAAAGCUUUGGAACAAAAG
This 305-nucleotide long non-coding RNA is filed under the name Struthio camelus australis. RNAcentral describes it as "lncRNA (ENSSCUG00000014984.1)". The record is from RNAcentral. Lineage: Eukaryota; Metazoa; Chordata; Aves; Struthioniformes; Struthionidae.